AGGCUGUGAUGGGGACACCUGGAGGCUCCUUUGCAUAGAGUCCCGGCCAAAAACAGAUGGCAGACUCAGAAGAGUUCACUCAGGAAAAUCUAAUGGCCUACGUACUAAAGUCUGGACCAGGCUUAAGGACAGACACCAAGAAAGGGAUGCUGCAAGGAUUUGAGAUGAUGCUUUUAUUAAAGCAUCCAGUGCAACACUUGGCAAGAGACAGUGCAAACUCACAGGAAACUUUUUACCUCCUGACUUCAUCUCUUACCCCUUUAUCUGAUUCCUGCCCUGCAAGCUGGGUUUCUGAGUCUUCUAGCCCAAAAGGGCCCAGGGAGGUUUCCUGCCGCCACCCAAGGUGUCCUUCCCCACCCCAUCUCCCGACUGACAUUGGGACACUGAGACCCCAGUAGUUAGGGGUCCAUUGGGCCCCUCUCUGGCCCAGCCAAGUCUCUGACAGACACCAGCAUUUCCAAGAAAACCAGUUCACGGGGCUCCAUGUAGGAAAAGCAGGCCCUUUCAGGAGCUAGCACUUAGGCAGGAUUUCCAAAUUUUUUUUCCCCAAAUCUUGAUGAUCUUACAUUUAAAACAUGUAUCACCUUGCUAGUUUCUGGCAGCAGUGCCCAGGCACAGAGAUAUGGGAACUAGAGCUGCUGGGUCCUUACAUUCUCAGCUGAGGGAAGCCUCCGCCCUUCCCACACACUGCUUUGCAGGGCAGCACCCCCAGCGCUUACCCACCAGGGAACCGGGCCUGUUCAGUGCUCUCUGAGCAGCUGUCCCAGAUUCCCCCAGAAGGCCAGGAAUGGGUAGGCUGAGGUCCGAGGGCCAAUUCUCAGAGACAGAGCAAACCCUGCCUGAUUCUAGAGGGAGUUGCAGCUCAAACCCCUUGGAGACAGAAGAGGGAAGGAGAAUUAAAGCGUAGUAAGUGUGUCUAUGGACCAGGUCCUUUGGGAACAAUAUCUUAUUUAAGCCACAUAGCGGCCUUGGAAUAAAGAUCAUUAUAGCCAAUUUGCACCGAAAAAGCAAAAGAAAAAGACCCUGUAAAGUUAUCUUAUUCCAAGGUCACACCGCUGAAGGUGGCAGAGUCAGGGUUUGACCUAAUUCUGCUCACUACUUUCUGGCUGUGCAACCUUGGGUAACAUCCUUCCUCUCUCUGGGCUUCAGUUUCUAUAUCUGUGCAAUGUGGCACUAAAAAUACCACCUCAUGAGAUGCUCUGCAGCUUCAGUGAGAUAGCCCACGUCAAGCACUUGGCAUGGUGCCAGGCAUACAACACAUUUUUUGAAUGAAUGAGUGAGUGAAGGAAUGAAUGAUUGGGAGGCAACUCAGCUCCAGCCCCAUUUAAAACUGUAUUUCAUCCAUGAUUUGUGGAGCUCAUAUUGACACCAGAGUGUGCCAAGUUUCCCAAGUUUCCAUCAGUCUUCAUGAUAUCAGCCUGAGAAUUUUUCUUCACUGAAAGAACUUCUCCAACUCCACUAGUGAAAAUCCUGUCUGGCCAAUGGCCACCGACUCUGAGAGUCUUUGUGGGAACCCAGCAGCUGAAUGUAGAGACCUGCCUGACACUCUCAUUGCAGAACGUUCCACGUCCUAGCUAGGUGUACCCGUUCUUUAGCUCCUCUAAAAGCACUGCCUAUUGCUGGAGGCAAAAGACCAAGCCCCCAGAAUAACAGGAGCCCUGAAAAUAGCUUCCAUUCAGUGUGCCCCCUGAGGACAGACACCACCUUGCCUCACCACUGUGUCUUCAGGUUGCUGUGGGGUGCCUCGCACCCGAGAGAUGCUCAAUAACUGUUUGUGGAAUGAAUAGAAUCCAAAAAGAGUUGAACAUAAAUGUGCAGGACUUGCUAAUUCUUCUGUGUGCAGGCAACACUGGGGCUUCAGGGGGAUGCUGGUGCCCAGCAACAACUUGUGUGUGGCCCUGGGGUCUGUUUCCAGGACGGCGGGAUCCCCUGGUCUGUAUUUUGUGAAAAGAUGAGUUCCCUGGAUCCAUUUGACUGGGUUUCAUUGAAGGACAUUUGAAAAAGGAAACUGGGGAAGGCAAAUUAGCCUCCCUGGCUUCCUGCAGAGAGCACCUUUUAUGAGACUGUCAUUUCGAGUUUCCUCUUCCUCUUGUUUGGUUCACACAUUCCCACAGCCUCCCUCAGAGAACAGAUUGAACCCCUAUUUUCCUCAUUAAAGAUCACAUCAGUGCAAGGACAUCCUGUCUGGAUGGGUAGGAAGUGCCCCAGGAGAUGUCUAUCGUGCGUCUGGGCCCCACAGGAGCAAGCUUCUGGCUGCCAUCUCUUAGGAUCUCACAGCCUUUGGACCUUGCAACAGCACCUCUCCCCAGUGUUAAGCAGACCCAGGGCUGAUUGCCAGUCACUUCCAGAAGGAUGGAGUUCAAAGGGACAUCUGGAGCAAACAGACUUCGGGUGGCAGAAAUAGAAGCCCUACUUGGCAGGGUUUCUGAAGGUAACAUGAGUCAACAUAUGUGAAACACUUUGCAUGGUGCCUUGCCUUCGUAAGAGCCCCAUUAUGACAACUGUGAUCAUAACUACUUUACAUAAAGGCUUCUGACCCAGUGUCCAGGGCUUGCAGUAAGAGAUCAUCCCUGCGCGCACUCCCCAUCUUCACACAGAGUAGGGACAAGGGAGAAGUGGGCAGCCUGGAAUGAGCGGCAAGUGGGGAGAACAGAGAACAAGCCACUGCUGGGGCAUGUGACCCCAGGAGGAGCUUCGCUUGCCUCCAUCAUUCCUUGUCCCAUGUGAGAGGCGGCUGCAGAGCUAUACUGGAGGAGUGGGUAAUAGACUCCUCUUUGUCAGUUGUGGUGGGUACAACCGAUUACCCAACCAACAGCCACCCUCCCGCAACUCAAAGCACUUCUUCCUUGCAGACAGAGCUCGCUUUCCAUCUUAGAAGCUGAAAAUGGUAGACGCUGUCUUGCCCAGGCUUCCUUACACAUGGGCAUGUAAUUUAUUCAUGGAAACAAACAACCUCUUUGUUUCUUUCCCAACAACCUUCCCAUGCCAGACACUGACAUGGGAAUGUGAUGCUGGAAGCUGCAGCUGCCACGUUGCAACCAUGAGGGGAUGAGCCAAGACCACACCAAUGUGCAAAGGACCAGAAAGAUGGAAGGGAUAUUCUGGAACUUUCGUAGCUCAGAGUUCUUGUAACGUGGGAGGAUAAAUGAACUCACUGCUUAAACCACUUCUAGGCAGGCCUUCUGUUAUUUGAAGCAAAAAGCAUUCCAGCAUUUCUAAACUUGAGAAAGACAUUUUGAAAAGUUGUGGGUCUGGGACUCUAAAACAGGUGUUCUUAGAGCCUCCCACUGCCUUUCUCUGGCCCUGGUGGUAACUGCAAAUCUUAGGAAGUCAUGGAAAGUUGCUGGGUCUGAGCCACACCUCACAUCCCAGCAUCUCAAGCCUCCAGGCAGAAACUGGUGAGUCACUGAGAUCUCGGGUGUCGUUCAGUGUGUUUGUCACUCCUUCCAUCAACGAAGUAGACUCUGGGGCCUACAGAGUGGCCAGCGCUGGAGAAGGUGAUGAGGAGGCAGAGCUAAAAAUGCAUGUCUCUGCUCAUGUGUUCAUUCAUGUAUUUAAUUAACACUUACCCAAAACAUCAAUAUCCCCCAAACUUAUUUUAAUAAAAUGUGGUGUUUGCUUUGUCAUCCUUCUGAAUAUGCCCUUCAGGCUUCAAUAUUCCAAAGUAGUCCAUGAAUGCAGAAAUAUUGGGAACCACCAAUUUGCGCAAGUCAUUAAAUCUUUCUGUGUCCCAGUUUCCUUCUCUGAGACAGCAGCUAGUUAAAUUUCGUCAGAUGGCCUCAUUGGCUCUGGCUAAGAAUCAAUAAGCAGUCAUGGUGUUAAGAGCCCUCCCUCAAGAAGUAUGCUACCACAGAGGGAGGUCUAAGCUGAGGUCUAGCUUCAUCCUUAAGGUCCCGUGUUCUGGAAUCCAGCGGACUUGGUUUGGAAUACUGACUCUGCCAAUUGUUUACAGAGUAAAUCUGGACAAAUUUGACUUUACUUCUCUGGCCCUCAGUAUUCACACGUAUGACUGGGAACACACAGCACCCAUCUCACAGGGCAUUAUCAGGAUUCACUGCUCUUAGCUAUGGUGAACUCUUGGCACAAGCAAACAAUAAAUAAUAGCUAUUUUAUUCUUGUUUUGUUUUUGUCACUGUUAGGGAAUCUCCAGUCGUAUUGAAACAUCUUCUAUGAAAGCCUCAGAAAACCCCCC
RNAcentral lists this long non-coding RNA (4192 nucleotides) under Homo sapiens (human). Its description in RNAcentral is "HSALNT0097551". Lineage: Eukaryota; Metazoa; Chordata; Mammalia; Primates; Hominidae. The record is from RNAcentral.